UGGGGAAUAUUGGACAAUGGGGGCAACCCUGAUCCAGCAAUGCCGCGUGUGUGAAGAAGGUCUUCGGAUUGUAAAGCACUUUCGACGGGGGACGAUGAUGACGGUACCCGUAGAAGAAGCCCCGGCUAACUUCGUGCCAGCAGCCGCGGUAAUACGAAGGGGGCUAGCGUUGCUCGGAAUGACUGGGCGUAAAGGGCGUGUAGGCGGUUUACACAGUCAGAUGUGAAAUCCCCGGGCUUAACCUGGGAGCUGCAUUUGAUACGUGUAGACUAGAGUGUGAGAGAGGGUUGUGGAAUUCCCAGUGUAGAGGUGAAAUUCGUAGAUAU
RNAcentral lists this ribosomal RNA (326 nucleotides) under uncultured bacterium. RNAcentral describes it as "partial 16S ribosomal RNA". It matches the Rfam family "Bacterial small subunit ribosomal RNA", at positions 355 to 697 of the family's 1533-position model. The record is from RNAcentral.